UAGAUACCCUGGUAGUCCACGCUGUAAACGAUGAGUACUAGGUGUCGUGGGUCACCCACCUGGGUGCGGCGGCUAACGCAUGAAGUACUCCGCCUGGGAAGUACGCUCGCAAGAGGGAAACUCAAAGGAAUUGCCGGGGACCCGAACAAGUAGCGGAGCAUGUGGUUUAAUUCGAAGCAACGCGAAGAACCUUACCUAAGCUUGACAUCCCAAUGACAUCUCCUUAAUCGGAGAGUUCCCUUCGGGGACAUUGGUGACAGGUGGUGCAUGGUUGUCGUCAGCUCGUGUCGUGAGAUGUUGGGUUAAGUCCCGCAACGAGCGCAACCCUUGUCUUUAGUUGCCAUCAUUAAGUUGGGCACUCUAGAGAGACUGCCAGGGAUAACCUGGAGGAAGGUGGGGAUGACGUCAAAUCAUCAUGCC
RNAcentral lists this ribosomal RNA (420 nucleotides) under Clostridioides difficile. RNAcentral's name for it is "bacterial SSU rRNA". It matches the Rfam family "Bacterial small subunit ribosomal RNA", at positions 779 to 1199 of the family's 1533-position model. Lineage: Bacteria; Bacillati; Bacillota; Clostridia; Peptostreptococcales; Peptostreptococcaceae. The record is from RNAcentral.